RNAcentral lists this unclassified non-coding RNA (349 nucleotides) under soil metagenome. Its description in RNAcentral is "partial contains 5.8S ribosomal RNA, internal transcribed spacer 2, and large subunit ribosomal RNA". The stretch from base 1 to 120 matches the Rfam family "5.8S ribosomal RNA", at positions 35 to 154 of the family's 154-position model. The record is from RNAcentral.
GAUGAAGAACGUAGCGAAAUGCGAUAAGUAAUGUGAAUUGCAGAAUUCAGUGAAUCAUCGAAUCUUUGAACGCACAUUGCGCCCGCCAGUAUUCUGGCGGGCAUGCCUGUCUGAGCGUCAUUUCAACCCUCAUGCCCCUAGGGCGUGGUGUUGGGGAUCGGCCAAAGCCCGCGAGGGACGGCCGGCCCCUAAAUCUAGUGGCGGACCCGUCGUGGCCUCCUCUGCGAAGUAGUGAUAUUCCGCAUCGGAGAGCGACGAGCCCCUGCCGUUAAACCCCCAACUUUCCAAGGUUGACCUCAGAUCAGGUAGGAAUACCCGCUGAACUUAAGCAUAUCAAUAAGCCGGAGGA